CAGCACCGCGGUAAUACGAAGGGGGCUAGCGUUGUUCGGAUUUACUGGGCGUAAAGGGCGCGUAGGCGGACUGAUAAGUCAGGGGUGAAAUCCCAAGGCUCAACCUUGGAACUGCCUUUGAUACUGUUUGUCUUGAGUUCGAGAGAGGUAAGUGGAACUGCGAGUGUAGAGGUGAAAUUCGUAGAUAUUCGCAAGAACACCAGUGGCGAAGGCGGCUUACUGGCUCGAAACUGACGCUGAGGCGCGAAAGCGUGGGGAGCAAACAGGAUUAGAUACCCCAGUAGUCCCUGUCUCUUAUACA
RNAcentral lists this ribosomal RNA (301 nucleotides) under uncultured bacterium. RNAcentral describes it as "partial 16S ribosomal RNA". It matches the Rfam family "Bacterial small subunit ribosomal RNA", at positions 509 to 808 of the family's 1533-position model. The record is from RNAcentral.